GAAAUUAAAACCCUAAAACAACAAAAACUCAAAGCUGCUUCUAAUAAAAAAACACUUGUUGUAUCGGAAAGCAGUUGCAGUGGAUUGAACUUAGUGGCCGGAAACGCCGGCGGACUUGGUCGUCGUGGGGGAGAACGAUCACCGUACAGGUGAAAGCAGAGGAAAAAUGAAAACGCUAUCUGGACAUUGUGAAUCAUCUAAAGAGAUAGCACUUUCCAAAGCUACCAAAAUUCUCUUUAAAUUUGUCUCCGCUGACAAUGGUGCUUCACAAGUCAUCAAUGCUUAUCUCUUCCGUGCUUCCGCGGCUUUCAAUGAGCUUAAUCAGUUUCACAGGGAGCUUAAACCAUCACAGUCUCGUAGGAAGAAUCGCGAAAGCCACACAACAGAUGAUAGCGGGAGAGUGGUGGAAAGUUAUGCUAAGAGUGUUGAUGUGAAGCCCGAGAACGAGUUUGUAAGGGAAAGGGUUCAUGAUGAGAAUGCAAGAAAAAAGAAGAAGAACAAGAAGAAGGACAAGAAUUUAGAAGGUGAGAAUGCAAAGGAAAAAGAACAGCAUAGAGAGAUGGAGAAAAAUGCAAGUAACAAUAAGAAGGUUGAAAAUGGAAAGGGACAAGAACAGAAAGAGGUAGAGAAAAAACUAUGCAACAGUGCGAGGAGUGAAAAUGGAGGGCUAGUUGGUUUCUGGGACAUAGAAAUUAGGUCGAAAAUGGAACAUGAAGCUAAAUUACAUGUUGAAGAGGUAAAGACGGAGCAAACGAAGAAGAAGAGGAAGAAUGAAAAUGUGGAAGAUGGAUACGGGAAAAGUCUAAGAAGAAAAUGAAAAGGAAACGCGAGGGUUAAGCUUAAAUUUAGAGCGUUGUUAAUUCACCGAUACUUCUUUGUAGUUUUACAAUUGUGUAACAACGAAAUGCAAUUUUUCUAUUGAUUGCAACUAUUAGCUAUUGGGGAUACUGAAUUCAUCAUGUAGAGAGUGAAUACAGCAAUAACCAUAUAUCCUAUCCUUUCUGGGAGUUUAUAUAUAUUUUCAAGGUGACUUUUGUUUCAAGACAGGGAUUAGUCACUGCAAAAGGAUGCUCUUUCUUACCUAUAACAUGAUUAUAAAAAAAGUGACACUCUGAACAUCCUGUUGAGGAUGGAUUCACCUUUGUUUUGCCGCGCUCCUGGAGAAGAGUUUGAUUUUGCAUGAGUGAGUCCUUUGAGGAUUUCAUUUCAUUAUCGUUGGUUUUGUUUAGGCACUACUUGCCAACAUGGCUGCUAUGUAUGCUGCAUAUCAUACACAUAGACCCAAAGGCAUUAAAGCCAUUGCACAAAGGGUUCAUGGUCUUGCUGGUGUGUUUGCUCUUGACUAAAAGAAACUCGGAAUAGUGGAAGUUCAAGAUCUUGCGUUCUUUGACACUGUGAAGGCUAAGAGUUAAGACUUCAAAUGCCAAAGUUAUUGCAGAUACUGCUACCAAAAGUGAAAUCAAUUUCCGAGUUGUAAAUGGAAACACUGUAAGCGUUGCAUUUAUUACUGUAAGCUCAAAAUUCUAUUUGAAAAGUGCUAUAUGAAGUAGCAACGCCAUAGUUUGUCA
Molecule: RNA transcript, 1568 nt
Organism: Vicia villosa (hairy vetch)
Lineage: Eukaryota; Viridiplantae; Streptophyta; Magnoliopsida; Fabales; Fabaceae
Exons: 3
Source: RefSeq, a predicted model, not a curated record